ACUGGGGCUUUUAGCAAUAGAGCCUCGAGUUUAUUCUUCUGUUUCUUUAACCCUAUUUUUAAAUAGAUCUUUUUAAACUUUGCCUGACACUCUUGCUUGUAUGAAGCAGGUUAACCCUGUAAGGUGCAGGCCUGUGGCUGGAGCAAUUAGAGCGGCAUUAAGUGAGGGUGGUUUCUCCAGGCAUCUCAGCAAAUUUAAAUCUGUACCAUCGUAGCUCUGUUACCCCAGCAGCAACAAGGGUGUCACUAAGUGACAGUCUGAGUACUAAGAGGCUUCACCAUUGCUGGAUCAUGACUUAGCGGUACAUUUCUUCCUUUGAACUACCAGGGAGGGAGAGCUGCCUGUCCCUGAGGAAAAGAGGGUCAAAUUCGCCUUCCACUAAGCCUCAAGAAAGGCCGCCAGCCGCAAAACAGAGGCUCACUGCACGGAUCAUAAUGGGUCACCUUUCCCCGCUCGCACCCUCCUAGCGUCCUGACCCCCGCAGACACUGCAUUUCGGGAGCGCAGGGCCACCAAGCUGCAUCUACAGAUAAACAUCGAGAAUCAGGAUCGCCCAGCGAGCGCUUCCUGGACUGAGUCGAGAGCUCCAGUGAUUUCCCUGGCCUGCCACCGAGUCAUUUAAGAAGUGAAAUAUGCCAACGGGGCCGGGUACCCAGCACCUGGGAGCCCGUCCCACCGCCUCUGCGAUGGAGUGGGAGCUGCCAAUGGCUGGGCAACGUCUCUGCGGAUGGCGCAUUCUCAGACCCACCCUGAAUCCAGCAUGCUCUCACCAAGACUUAAUUGCAUCUGCAAAGAACCUAUUUCCAGAUAAGGUCACAUCCACAGGUGAAAAGAAUCAUUGAUACCACCUGCAGACCACAGCAGCUAGAAGUCAAGCGGAUGGAAGCUUCUCAAAGGAAGGGAUACGCCUUACCCUUCUUUGUAUUUCCACAGCAUCCACCAUGGUACUUGGAUCAAAGUAGGUGUCUAAUACAUAUUUAGGAGGGAAAGUAGGAUAACCUGUAUAUAGGAUCUGCUUCCAAUUUUUUAAAUAUCUGUAAUAUAUAUGAUGUUCAUGUAGUUGGAAAAUACAUCAU
Molecule: long non-coding RNA, 1075 nt
Organism: Lagenorhynchus albirostris (white-beaked dolphin)
Lineage: Eukaryota; Metazoa; Chordata; Mammalia; Artiodactyla; Delphinidae
Exons: 3
Source: RefSeq, a predicted model, not a curated record